AUUGAACGCUGGCGGCAUGCCUUACACAUGCAAGUCGAACGGCAGCGGGGGAGAAGCUUGCUUUUCCUGCCGGCGAGUGGCGAACGGGUGAGUAAUACAUCGGAACGUGCCCUGUAGUGGGGGAUAACUAGUCGAAAGAUUAGCUAAUACCGCAUACGACCUGAGGGUGAAAGUGGGGGACCGCAAGGCCUCAUGCUAUAGGAGCGGCCGAUGUCUGAUUAGCUAGUUGGGGGGGUAAAGGCCUACCAAGGCGACGAUCAGUAGCUGGUCUGAGAGGACGAUCAGCCACACUGGGACUGAGACACGGCCCAGACUCCUACGGGAGGCAGCAGUGGGGAAUUUUGGACAAUGGGCGAAAGCCUGAUCCAGCAAUGCCGCGUGUGUGAAGAAGGCCUUCGGGUUGUAAAGCACUUUUGUCCGGAAAGAAAUGGCUCUGGUUAAUACCUGGGGUCGAUGACGGUACCGGAAGAAUAAGGACCGGCUAACUACGUGCCAGCAGCCGCCGUAA
This 508-nucleotide ribosomal RNA is filed under the name uncultured bacterium. RNAcentral describes it as "partial 16S ribosomal RNA". It matches the Rfam family "Bacterial small subunit ribosomal RNA", at positions 30 to 523 of the family's 1533-position model. The record is from RNAcentral.